This 330-nucleotide unclassified non-coding RNA is filed under the name Hevea brasiliensis (rubber tree). Lineage: Eukaryota; Viridiplantae; Streptophyta; Magnoliopsida; Malpighiales; Euphorbiaceae. The record is from RNAcentral.
GGUUGUCCCAGUUGGGAACAAGGGGAAUGACUUUGAUGAUGAUGAUGACAUUUUGGGUAGUAAUGAGUCAGGAACAGCUGAAAAACCCAAUUCAUUUGCCAAGACAUUGACUCAAUCAGAUGCAAAUAAUGGUGGUGGAUUCUCUGUGCCUAGAUACUGUGCAGAGACAAUAUUUCCUAGGUUGGAUUACACGGCUGACCCGCCUGUGCAGACCGUGACAGCCAAAGAUGUUCAUGGUGAAAGUUGGAAGUUUAGGCACAUUUAUAGAGGUACUCCCAGGAGGCAUUUGUUAACGACUGGUUGGAGUAGUUUUGUGAAUCAGAAGAAACU